RNAcentral lists this ribosomal RNA (213 nucleotides) under Triticum aestivum (bread wheat). RNAcentral's name for it is "partial small subunit ribosomal RNA". Lineage: Eukaryota; Viridiplantae; Streptophyta; Magnoliopsida; Poales; Poaceae. The record is from RNAcentral.
AUGAGAAGCUUCUUGCCUCUGUGCGCGCUCCUCCUCGUCCUGCUCUGCUUGGCGAGCCUCAUGGACGUCACGGAAGGAAGGUUCCGAGCCGCAGGCGGCGGAGCACGAAGCAGCAACAGCAGCAGCGGCGGCAGCCCGGGUACCCUGAGCGGCGGCACCUGGGCGGCGUGCGUCGGCUCCACACUGCUCGCCGCGGCGCCCAUGCUGCUUUAA